UACAGAGGGUGCGAGCGUUAAUCGGAAUUACUGGGCGUAAAGGGCGCGUAGGCGGUUAUAUGAGUGUGAUGUGAAAGCCCCGGGCUUAACCUGGGAAGUGCAUCGCAAACGAUAUAACUGGAGUAGAUGAGAGGGUGGCGGAAUUUCCGGUGUAGCGGUGAAAUGCGUAGAUAUCGGGAGGAACACCAGUGGCGAAGGCGAUCAUCUGGGGUUGUUCUGACGCUGAGGAGCGAAAGCUAGGGGAGCAAACGGG
This 253-nucleotide ribosomal RNA is filed under the name uncultured prokaryote. Its description in RNAcentral is "partial 16S ribosomal RNA". It matches the Rfam family "Bacterial small subunit ribosomal RNA", at positions 524 to 776 of the family's 1533-position model. The record is from RNAcentral.